AAUACCCUUCAGGACCAAGCACUGGUCAGGGCUGUUGGCCGUAAAGGAUCUGAUUAUAGCGUGGAGCAGCAAGAAUUCUGCUCGCCAUGCAAAACGGCCUUCGAACUCGACCAAAGGAGCUAAAAUGUUACUCAGGCCUGCUUGCUGGCAGUGUGCUGAUUUUGGCCCAAAGCAGAAACUGUUCUGAACACUUGACAAAACGGCAUUCAGAGCCAACCACUACUCAGAUCUAUUGUCCGUGAAGAAGCUGAUUUCAGCCCACAGCAGGAAGCAUUCCGGUCACCAGGCAAGAUGGUGUUCAGACUCGACAACAGGAAGUAGAAUGCCUACUCAAAGCUGCUGGCUGGAGGGCGACUAUAUUGGUCCAGGGCAGCAGGUAUUCUGCUCGCUAACAAAACAGCCUUCACAGCCAAGUACU
Molecule: long non-coding RNA, 418 nt
Organism: Schistocerca piceifrons (Central American locust)
Lineage: Eukaryota; Metazoa; Arthropoda; Insecta; Orthoptera; Acrididae
Exons: 3
Source: RefSeq, a predicted model, not a curated record